ACAACAUUCGGACCGUCGCCGCGUCGCCGCGUCGGUCUACCGAGCAAUAUCAGCCGCUCGGUCGAAGAUCUUCCCUCUGACGU
RNAcentral lists this microRNA precursor (83 nucleotides) under Bombyx mori (domestic silkworm). RNAcentral describes it as "mir-2774 microRNA precursor family". It matches the Rfam family "mir-2774 microRNA precursor family". Lineage: Eukaryota; Metazoa; Arthropoda; Insecta; Lepidoptera; Bombycidae. The record is from Rfam by way of RNAcentral.